Long non-coding RNA from Harpia harpyja (harpy eagle), 1635 nucleotides. RefSeq lists it as uncharacterized. The record is from RefSeq and is a predicted model, not a curated record. The transcript is spliced from 3 exons. Lineage: Eukaryota; Metazoa; Chordata; Aves; Accipitriformes; Accipitridae.
CUGUGUUGGAAUAUCCAGAUACAAUGGUUCUGAUUCUCUUCUCUAUUCAAAUAAUAAUUCUUUUUUCAGGAGCAGUACCAGCUGCCUUGCAGUGUGACUAAGACCCCAAGGGAAGACUUGCUGCAAAAAGCCUACAGUAUAAAAUACCUGCCAGCAAAAUUUCCCAUCCUUCUGGCUGUUGUUGUCAUUUGUGUUUCGUAGAUGGUUGGAUGAAGAUAACUCACAACAGCGUUAUUCCUGUAACUGCAGCAGGCAGCAAAAUUAAGAUCUGAGGGAAUUUCAGUGUAUAACCUCAAAUUCUGCUUCCCUUGAGUAUUUCAUGCAUGUUACAUUGAAAGUGAAGAAGGAAGGACAAGGUGAAUGUGACUUUAUGUAAAUCUGUUGAAAAUGUGGCUUGAGUAUUCACAAAAAGGCUUUUUAUGCAUUAUUUAUUCCUCCAUAGUUAAAUAUAUGAUGCUCACUAACUAUGGCUGGUAAACGUGCACCUGCAGAAAGGAGUCUGGUGAGAAUAUGAUAAAGGUCUUGCUUGGCUAAAGCACAAAUUACCACUAGACUUGGGUGCAGAAAUUAAUCUUGAGAUGAUGAUGAUUCACUUGGGGGAACUGUGAUGGGUUUGUAAUAUGAGUUAUAGCAAUUUGUAGUUAUUGCAUAAAUGCAAAUAUUUAGAUGGAGUGUUCAUGAUUGCCACAACAGGAAAAAGCAAUGUUAGAGAAAGGAUUUUUUUCUUCUGACUUAUGUAUGUAACCCUUGUCCAAGACACUCUGUACAUUCCAUGGAGAGACACAGACACUUUCAGGAAGUGAUUCAUCUCGGGUUUAGGUGUCUAAAAUAAGGCAGAUGGAAGAGCCUAUUUCUCUCCACAGAAGAACUUCUAGGCUGAAUCGCAUUGUAACAAGCAGGCCCAGUAGUAAAAACAGUAUGACCACCUGCAAGCAAACACGGUUCAUGUCUUAGCACCCUGCCACCAGUAUAGUCAAACACAAAGUGAUAGUGUCUGACUGUAGAACAAAUUCUCUUUCAGCUGCAGCAGAAGUAGCUCAUCUGAUAAAUCAGUCAUAAUCAUGCUCAAAUGUGUAGUCAAAUUUAUACAACACAGAACAUAGUAUUCCAGUCUGUCAGGAAUUAACCCUCCCCAUGCAAAAAAUGUGAGUUUGCAUCUGUGAAGUUUGUAUUAAGUUAAGAACAAUUUUGGCGUGGCUGUAAAUUCAGAUUUUCUUUUUUUUUCACUGUUGAGAUUUAGGAUUUGAUUUUGCAGAGAUGCAGAACAUUUUCUGGACGCUCAGUUCCCUGACUACUUUGAAGGACACGAUGCCUUGUGAGAUCAAGGCCUUGCACCAUGUAGAAUGUCUUUAUCUGAAUUGCUGUGUUCCUUAGGUGUGUAAAAUUUUGAAAUGCCUCCUAAAACUAUCACUUACCCUCCACUACUGCUUCCAGCUGCCAGACAGCAAAGAGUCAGGUGUCUAAGCUUGGCUGAUUGGCCAGGCUCCAUCUAUAAUUGAUGGAGACAAGCACUUCUGAGGGGAGAUUCAUCUGGUCUAUGGAGACUGUGAAUCACACAUUUCCUAUCUCUUGCUCCUGGCUAUUUGUUGGCACCCCUGACUCACUUCACGGCACCUUUUGGUUGCUGUUUGUGGC